AGAGUUUGAUCAUGGCUCAGGAUGAACGCUGGCGGCGUGCCUAACACAUGCAAGUCGAGCGAUUCUCUUCGGAGAAGAGCGGCGGACGGGUGAGUAACGCGUGGGUAACCUGCCUCAUACACAUGGAUAACAUACCGAAAGGUAUGCUAAUACAAGAUGAUAUAAGAGAUUCGCAUGGAUUUCUUAUCAAAGCUCCGGCGGUAUGAGAUGGACCCGCGUCUGAUUAGCUAGUUGGUAAGGUAACGGCUUACCAAGGCGACGAUCAGUAGCCGACCUGAGAGGGUGAUCGGCCACAUUGGAACUGAGACACGGUCCAAAUUCCUACGGGAGGCAGCAGUGGGGAAUAUUGCACAAUGGGCGAAAGCCUGAUGCAGCAACGCCGCGUGAGCGAUGAAGGCCUUCGGGUCGUAAAGCUCUGUCCUCAAGGAAGAUAAUGACGGUACUUGAGGAGGAAGCCCCGGCUAACUACGUGCCAGCAGCCGCGGUAAUACGUAGGGGGCUAGCGUUAUCCGGAUUUACUGGGCGUAAAGGGUGCGUAGGUGGCUUCUUAAGUCAGGAGUGAAAGGCUACGGCUCAACCGUAGUAAGCUCUUGAAACUGGGAAACUUGAGUGCAGGAGAGGAAAGUGGAAUUCCUAGUGUAGCGGUGAAAUGCGUAGAUAUUAGGAGGAACACCAGUAGCGAAGGCGGCUUUCUGGACUGUAACUGACACUGAGGCACGAAAGCGUGGGGAGCAAACAGGAUUAGAUACCCUGGUAGUCCACGCCGUAAACGAUGAGUACUAGGUGUCGGGGGUUACCCCCCUCGGUGCCGCAGCU
Molecule: ribosomal RNA, 816 nt
Filed under: uncultured bacterium
Lineage: Bacteria
Description: bacterial SSU rRNA
Rfam family: Bacterial small subunit ribosomal RNA
Source: RNAcentral